RNAcentral lists this ribosomal RNA (333 nucleotides) under Triticum aestivum (bread wheat). RNAcentral's name for it is "partial small subunit ribosomal RNA". Lineage: Eukaryota; Viridiplantae; Streptophyta; Magnoliopsida; Poales; Poaceae. The record is from RNAcentral.
AUGAGUCUCUCUAUUGGAAGGGGGGUUGUCGGAACAUCAUUUAUUUUCCCACUUGCUGCUGUAUUAAAUGUGUCAUUUGGCCUUAAUUUUGUGCACUGCAUUUUUCUUCACUCCUCUUUGUUCUUUACUAAGUUAGAAUCAUAUAUAAAUUGGAUUAUCUUUGUGGUGUCUUUCCGACCCCAUGAUCGUCAUUUUGCACUUAAGACACAGAACCACCAGAAAGUGUUCUCCCUUAUGUAUCAUGUUGUCAUGGGUGAUGAUCCAGAGGUGAAGGUUGGCCAGCCAUCUUCUGAUGUUUUCACUUCUGCCAUGAGGAUGUUUAUAGUAUUAUAA